AACGAACGCUGGCGGCGCGCCUAAUACAUGCAAGUCGAGCGAGAGGACGUAGCAAUACGUUUGUAAAGCGGCGAACGGGUGAGGAAUACAUGGGUAACCUACCCUCGAGUGGGGAAUAACUAGCCGAAAGGUUAGCUAAUACCGCGUACGCUCCUUGGACUUCGGUUCAGGGAGGAAAGCGAUACCGUGGGUAUCGCGCUCUUGGAUGGGCUCAUGUCCUAUCAGCUUGUUGGUGAGGUAACGGCUCACCAAGGCUUCGACGGGUAGCUGGUCUGAGAGGACGAUCAGCCACACUGGCACUGCGACACGGGCCAGACUCCUACGGGAGGCAGCAGUAAGGAAUAUUGCGCAAUGGGCGAAAGCCUGACGCAGCGACGCCGCGUGGGGGAGUGAA
This 394-nucleotide ribosomal RNA is filed under the name uncultured bacterium. RNAcentral describes it as "bacterial SSU rRNA". It matches the Rfam family "Bacterial small subunit ribosomal RNA", at positions 29 to 413 of the family's 1533-position model. The record is from RNAcentral.